GGUUUUAGGAUGACGGAUAUAAAUUCUGCCCUGCUCAAUGUUAUAUAAAUGGCCGCAGUAUUUUGACUGUGCGAAGGUAGCAUAAUAAUUAGGCCAUUAAUUGUGGUCUUGUAUGAAAGGUUCGACAUGAAGUAGACUUUCUUUUUUUCAAGGAUGAAUUUAAAUUAUUGGUGAGAAUGCCAAUAUGAGAUAAUUAGACGAGAAGACCCUAUUAAGUUUUUUAUUCACCUCAUUGUGUGUAUUUUGUUGGGGUAACAGUUAAUUAAUAUUAUAUUUUAUUGAUCCAUUAUUAGUGAUUAUUAGAACAAAUUACUAUAGGGAUAACAGCGUAAUUUUAUUGGAGAGUUCACAUUGAUAAUAUAGUUUGCGACCUCGAUGUUGGAUUAGGAUAACCUGUAGGCGCAGGUGCUUAGUAAGGGAAACUGGUCCUCUAUUAAAUUCCUACA
This 446-nucleotide ribosomal RNA is filed under the name Scolopendra pinguis. RNAcentral describes it as "partial 16S ribosomal RNA". It matches the Rfam family "Bacterial large subunit ribosomal RNA", at positions 1829 to 2600 of the family's 2925-position model. Lineage: Eukaryota; Metazoa; Arthropoda; Chilopoda; Scolopendromorpha; Scolopendridae. The record is from RNAcentral.